Paramuricea clavata is the source of this 589-nucleotide non-coding RNA. NCBI's taxonomy places the organism in Eukaryota, Metazoa, Cnidaria, Anthozoa, Malacalcyonacea, Plexauridae. The record is from the annotation of a GenBank genome assembly.
GUGGAACAAUGACAUUUUGAGAAUCCCGCGAAAAUAUUUUAAUUCCUAUAGGUUUGUUUUAUACGCAUCACGUUGCAUUACUUUGCACGGGUACAGCCCUGCAGAAACUUAAUAAGACCCGGGUCAAACAAAGAUGAGAGUUGGUAAAAGUUGUAAGUCUCGUUUACAUAUAGUCAUAUACACGGGUUUUCUGGGGGUGCAGAGAGUGCGCAAAUCCAAAACAUUUUGCUCCCCCUCAGAAAGCUUUCCCAACCUACCUAGAGAAUUUUGCAACCCCCCACUGCUCAUUGGCUUAAAUAAUAGUAGUAUGAUUUAAAUAAGGAUUUUAAACUAAAUACGACCAAAAAUCUUUCCUGGGGGCUACCAACAAUCAUGUCCUCACUAGAGACAAUACUCCCAAACCCCAUUUUCAUACCCAGAGCCCUUCUUACGCGCGGUCAGCGACGAGGGGCUCUGGCAAAAUCCAAACCGGAUACCAUAAAAACAUGGUAUCCGGUUAAACAAUGCGCAUGCUCAAUAAGAGUUGAGCAUACGCAGUGUUUAACCGGAUAUCAUGUUUUUAUGGUAUCCGGUUUGGAUAUUCCCAGAG